Molecule: ribosomal RNA, 198 nt
Filed under: uncultured bacterium
Lineage: Bacteria
Description: partial 16S ribosomal RNA
Rfam family: Bacterial small subunit ribosomal RNA
Source: RNAcentral
ACGCUCGACACCUACUGGAGGCAGCAGUGGGGAAUAUUGCACAAUGGGGGAAACCCUGAUGCAGCGACGCCGCGUGAGCGAAGAGUAUUUCGGUAUGUAAAGCUCUAUCAGCAGGGAAGAAGAAAGACGGUACCUGACUAAGAAGCCCCGGCUAACUACGUACCAGCAGCCGCGGUAAUCUGAGCGGGCUGGCAAGGC